UUUAGAAAAAUUGCCAACAGCUUGCCACGAGAGAAGAAGGGUAAACCCCACGGACACUCAGAACUCGUUCCAUGUCUCCGUCAUUCAGUGCACGGAAAAACGGCCUCGCCACUCCAGAGCUACCAAGGGUGACGGCUUCAUGGGAUUCGAUCGAUUAUUAGUGACAUCAUCAAUGAAUGGUGAAAUCACGUUUCUCGUAUUUUGUGUGCAAGAAAGCAUGUCAUCUGUCUCAGAGCUAUUCAACUCAAAACGUUCUGCAUGCAUUUGAUUUUUGCUGCUGGAAUUGGUGAGCUUUAGUGAUCUGCAGAAUUCUCGUCAGCACGGCGUCUCGUCACUCCGCGGGGCUGGCCGGGGAAGCACGCACCCAGGACGCCAGCACGGCGGCGGCGGCACGGGGCAGACGGCAACGGGAAGAACAUACCUGGGCUCCGGUGAAGCUCAGUCAUAGAGACCCUCGGCGUUUCCAUGGGCCGAUGAUGACUGCAUUUGUAGUAAAUACAAUGUGAUGACUUGGAAACCGGCCGCCACGCUGAGUGGGUGACAGGUGGCACGCCCAGGUGGCAGGGACCCUCGUGGCACAGCAGGCUGGAUUUGCCAUGUUUACUGAUGGUGCUUCCGGAAGGAAGAGCAAAGACACGAUCCAUUUCAGACCUAGAUUUCAAGAUGACCCAAGAGCCGGCGUGUUGAAGUGACACACUUCAACAUGUCUGUCGAGGGUCCAGGGUCCCCAAGUACACUGUCGCCCUCUUCCCACCCUAUGCAUGGAAUGUCUCACUCCUCUGUGCAGAGCUCACCGCAACAGGCACCUGAACUCGAGGAAGCAACGCCUGCGACCGCUCGCUCUGCGGAGGGACUUAAAACAGGCAAUUAAAAUGCAGAGUCAGGGAGAGUGUCCCGGCAGGCAGAGCGCACAGCGCGGGCUCCGAUCUGGAGGUGAGACCAUGACACCUGCCCUCAGGGCACGCUGCCUGCCCUCCGUGGUCUGCCCAGCCUGGGAGGAAAGGGUGAGAAACAGCACAGCAGCCUGACAGAGCACGAUAUGCACUGGAGCCUUAAGAACCUCGCUCAGGAGAAACGUGGCCAGAAACAGCAGCCGACAGCGAGGAAAAAAUGAGAAUCAGCGUGAAGCAAAGCCUUGCUGGGCAGGAGCGGUCUGCAGCCCAGCGGCGCAGGAGCAAGUUCUGAAUAAUUUAACGCCCGGGAGCAUCUCGGGGUCACAGCCAGCCAAGGUCUCUAAUGACGACCUUGGGUGGGAAAGAAGGUGAGCUGUGCUUCCGGCGAUCCGUUUAGGGUGACGGGGAAGUGAGUAAUCGGAUUUAGACACCACUGAAAGAGAUUACAAUAAUGAAAGGUCUCGGGCGGUGUUAGAGAGGGGAACUCACGCGUGCGGAGAGGGUGGGGGUGGGUGGUCGGGGACGGAGGGUGCUCGGCCUCCUGCGGCCACCUGUGCUUGCAAACCCGCCUCUGGGGGGCACGACCCUGGAAGCAGUGACCCCGAGCUGGGGGUCCCAGGGCCUGGCACCAGAGUCCUGGUCCUGCCAGAGCCCGGCUUCGUGACUACGGGCAAGACUCGGUCUUUCUGAGCCCCGGUUUCCUCAGUUAUACAAAUACAGGCAAUAUCCCUUUGUCUGCCGCUUCCUGAGCUUAUUGGUGACUCUAAUGAAGUAUUGUCCAUGAAUGCCUUUUGCUCGCCGUAAAUUGCCUUGCAAAGGUGAAGAACGCGUAUGACUGCACAGAAAAAUGGCACUGCAUGUCCCCCAGGCUGCAGGGGGACAAGUGGGGGGACAAGUCCCUGCAGCGUGAGGGCUGGGGAGGGCAAGUGGGCUGACUGCACAUGGUCACCCUCCGUGACCGUGACCCUGCCCUGCCAAGACCCUGUAUAGAGCACGCAUAAUUAACCCUGCGUUCCACGGCCCGUCCCCUCGGUGGAGCAUGGGGCAUUAUCACGACAGAUUGCGAGAUUCUGCUGAUGUGAGAAUGCAGAGUCCCUAACUAGGUGGUGUCACUCUGCGUAGCUACCUGAGAGUGAGUGGAGACGUUCGUCUUGGUGAACAAUAUUUUCCUGGUUAGAGCUGGAACCCAUACUACUAAGUGAAGUAUCCCAAGAAUGGAAAGACAAGCACCACAUGGA
Non-coding RNA from Microcebus murinus (gray mouse lemur), 2131 nucleotides. The record is from RefSeq and is a predicted model, not a curated record. NCBI's taxonomy places the organism in Eukaryota, Metazoa, Chordata, Mammalia, Primates, Cheirogaleidae.